UGAAUAAUCACAGAGAGCCUUCAAGCACUGUCACAUCUUCAACUUAACCUGUGACCUCUGAGAUGACCUCUGACCUCUGCCAAUACAGAGUUUGACAUGAUGCUUCUGUCACUCAUACGCAGCUCAAUUAUCAUAAUUAACAGAGAACCUGGAGAUUCAGACAAAUGAAGGAUGCAAAGGACUUUCUUGUGAAAGAAAAAAAAAACUUAUGUAUGUAUGAAUUCUCCUCUCCCUUCACAACUGUCACAAUCAUUUUAAUUUAUGUUUUUCCUUAACCAAACUUCAAAAACAUAAGGACAGAUCCAUUCAGCGCAGCUGAUGACAAUUGAUGAUUUUCUUCUUAUUGUGAUUCAGAGUGUAGAGGACAGAUCACCAUCACUGUUUUUUACAAAAUAUUUCUGUUUUACAAAUAUUCAAAUCCUCACAGAAGGACUGAGAUCAAAGUUUAUAGUUCAGAUUAGAGGUCUUCACGGGUCCAAAAAUUCAUACCCGAACCUGAAGAGACCCGUAAAUGUGCUACACGGAACCGACCCGGGCCCGACUAUUAUUUUGAAAGUUGGACCCGGACCCGUGCAAAACCGAGAAAUGCCAUAAAUGUACUACCCGGACCCGUCUAUUAUUUGAAAGCUGGACCCGAACCCGGCCGGGAAGACACAGACCCGACUGGACCCGAUCGGCACAUAGGUCUAUUCCACAGCAAAUUGCUAUUAAUAAGUCAAUAAAAAGGUUGCGAAAAUAAAACGUUUUGUCUUACCUAAUGUUAGUAGCCUUCUCCCUUGUACCUGACUGUGAUGCACUUGCCAAGAAAGUUCAUCCGUUAUUCCUCUCUUGCCGAUUGAAAUGCUUAAUCCACUCAAUAUUCCAGCUUUAAAAGUCCACUUGCUGUCACGAUGACAAAUGCGACUUUGCAGUUCUGCGUUUUGUUGUAUCUCGAGUCAACUCAUAUAAUAAAAUAACUUCAACUGUUUGCCCUUUUGAACUAUAAUAACGAUUGCUUGUUCAGUGACAUGGCCGCUGACGUUAGCAUUACUUAUGUGUGAUUAUUUCUGUGCUUUCUGAGCCGAGUCUGACCAAAACUUUAGAUAUAACAAGAUGGUUCAUUCAUAAUAUUAUUAUAAAAAUAGGAGAAAGAAAGUGCGCUCGCAUGAGACUGCACAUGCGCGUUAGCUGGAGCAACCUGAAACAAGCUUUUAAACGCAUUUUGAGCGUCAUAGAAAACAUUCAUGUGAUAGUUCAUCUCAGAUUUUGUUAAUGAUUUGAAAUAUUUAAAUGCGAGUGUGCAAGGCUUCAAGCAGUUUUUGAGACUGGAAGUUUGUUUGCACACAAUAGGAAUAGGAAAACUCGAUGAUCACAGUUCGCUUGCUUUAACUCCGCCCGCUCUGCUUCUGAUGGCUAGAGUCGCUCGUGUUUUUUUCACCUUAUUUCCCGGCUCAUACUUUGCAAAUUACAAAAAAAACGCUGACUGACUCCCAACAUGGCCAAGUGAUCUCCGAAUCAGAUCGGCUCGGGUAUACACACAAUGAUAAACAGACCCGGGAACCCAAGUAAUACAUUGGGACCCGACCCGGACCCGUCUGACCAUUUAAAAUAUAGACCCAAAUCCAUACGGGUCCCGGGUCGGGUCCCGGGUCCUCGGGUCUCGGGUCCUCUUUGUAGACCUCUAGUUCAGAUAUAACGGUAGAGAUUAAAAUAGAGCAAAUCACAAGUUACUUUUGAAAGUAACUUGAUGCUUCAAAUAACGAUUGUAUCGAUUAAAUUGUUACACCAGUAGAUGGAGACAAGAGACUGUUAAAAAUGCAUUCGUCACUGAAUCAUUCAAGAGAUUCGUUCAAAAAUGCUGAUUCAUCCAGUAAUGAAACAAGUGAAGUAUUUAUGAGAAUCAUUUCAUUCAAAACCAUUUUUUUAAAAAAAAAUAAUUCAAAAUAAUACAAAGUCUUAAAUUCAUAUUUUGUAAGAACCUCUAGUAGGCUACAUUGCAUGUUAUUUUGUUUAGUUGUCUGUUCAGAAUGGUGGAAGAAUUUCUAUUUUAAACAAAAGAAGAUUGUGAUUCUCAAUAUAUCUAGAAUCGUGUCGCUCUAAUCAAACAUUGAUUUAUUCAGGAAUGUGUUGAUCAGCAAUAUAUUCGUUUGGAACCAUUUCAACUGGACCGAAAACAAAGUAACUUCUCUUAAUACUGAGUCUAAAGAAUAAAUUACUCAUUAGUAACUUUUUGUUUACUGAACUAUUGUAUGAAAGUCAUAUCACAUUCUCAGUCGUGCUGUUGAUCUGACAUUCACACUAAACAGAGCUCUUGCUCAUUAUACUGCUUUAUGAGGAUUAUAUUAACAUAUGAACUCAUGAAAUGUUUUGUGAAGUCUCAAUGAAACCACAUUAAACCAACUUAAACCUGUCACUCCUGAAGCGUUUGCAUAGAGAGUGUGUUUUACAUGAGCGACACACACUUCAGUGCUCUGCAUGUGUUUAUAACUCUGUCAAACAUCAAACAUGAUCAACAACUGUUUUUCACUAGAACUGAACCUACAACCAACAAAAAUGACUUUCAGCACCAUAUUGAUCUGGACGCUGGCAGUAUUAUGUCGAGAAUCUGUUGGUCAGGUGACAGUGACUCAAACUCCCUCAGAGCUGCUCUCUCAAACUGGACAAUCAGUCACUGUGACCUGUAAA
This is a long non-coding RNA of Ctenopharyngodon idella (grass carp), 2664 nucleotides long. RefSeq lists it as uncharacterized. The record is from RefSeq and is a predicted model, not a curated record. Lineage: Eukaryota; Metazoa; Chordata; Actinopteri; Cypriniformes; Xenocyprididae. The transcript is spliced from 3 exons.